Molecule: ribosomal RNA, 253 nt
Filed under: uncultured bacterium
Lineage: Bacteria
Description: partial 16S ribosomal RNA
Rfam family: Bacterial small subunit ribosomal RNA
Source: RNAcentral
UACGUAGGUGGCAAGCGUUGUCCGGAAUUAUUGGGCGUAAAGCGCGCGCAGGCGGUCCUUUAAGUCUGAUGUGAAAGCCCCGGGCUCAACCUGGGAAUUGCAUUGGAAACUACCGGGCUGGAGUGUGGCAGAGGGGGGUGGAAUUCCACGUGUAGCAGUGAAAUGCGUAGAGAUGUGGAGGAACACCGAUGGCGAAGGCAGCCCCCUGGGCUAACACUGACGCUCAUGCACGAAAGCGUGGGGAGCAAACAGG